UAAGGAAUAUUGGUCAAUGGACGGAAGUCUGAACCAGCCAUGCCGCGUGCAGGAAGACUGCCCUAUGGGUUGUAAACUGCUUUUGUACGGGAACAAACGUCGGUACGAGUACCGGUCUGAGUGUACCGUAAGAAUAAGGAUCGGCUAACUCCGUGCCAGCAGCCGCGGUAAUACGGAGGAUCCGAGCGUUAUCCGGAAUUAUUGGGUUUAAAGGGUGCGUAGGCGGGAUGCUAAGUCAGUGGUGAAAGACGGUGGCUCAACCAUCGCAGUGCCGUUGAUACUGGCGUUCUUGAAUGCGGAUGAGGUAGGCGGAAUGUGGCAAGUAGCGGUGAAAUGCAUAGAUAUGCCACAGAACACCGAUUGCGAAGGCAGCUUACCAAAUCGUUAUUGACGCUGAUGCACGAAAGCGUGGGGAUCAAACAGGAUUAGAUACCC
Molecule: ribosomal RNA, 435 nt
Filed under: uncultured bacterium
Lineage: Bacteria
Description: bacterial SSU rRNA
Rfam family: Bacterial small subunit ribosomal RNA
Source: RNAcentral